RNAcentral lists this long non-coding RNA (1042 nucleotides) under Callithrix jacchus (white-tufted-ear marmoset). RNAcentral's name for it is "lncRNA (ENSCJAG00000053122.2)". Lineage: Eukaryota; Metazoa; Chordata; Mammalia; Primates; Cebidae. The record is from RNAcentral.
AGGUUGGAGUACAAUGGCAGUGAUCUCGGCUCACCGCAACUUUCGCCUCCUGGGUUCAAGCGAUUCUCCUGUCUCAGCCUUCCGAGUCGCUGGGAUUACAGGUGCAUGCCACCACACCCAGCUAAUUUUGUAUUUUUAGUAGAGGCAGAGUUUCUCCAUGUUGGUCAGGCUGGUCUUGAACUUCCGACCUCAGGUGAUCCACCCCACCUCGGCCUCCCAAAGUGCUGGUAUUACAGGCGUGAGCCACUGCGCAAGGCUCUUUUUCUCAAAUUUUUAAAUCAACUGCUUUCCCCCCAUAAUUUUACGAUAUUUGGUUCCUCUUGUUUAAAUUCUUUCAUAUAAAUAAAUUAGUUAUGUCAACACUUGUACUUUACGACUUGCUUUCGCUUUUAUAGACUCCAAAAGUUUGGUAAAGUUUAAGCUGUGAUUUCACCUCGCACAGACUGGAAGAAAAUCAUCAUGGGCAGACAAGACUCUGAUUCUUCCUGGGAUCAGUGAACUGGGAGGCUGGCGGUUGAGCAGGCAAAAGAGGGCUGUUGAAAAGAUGUUAGCGUCAGGCAAAAAGCACACAUUUACCAAAAAACAAACAAAAGCAGAGAACAACUGCUGUAUACAAUUGUAUUUACAGCUCAGAGGAGGAUCUGGAUUGUCACGGAUGAAUUCUUACACAUGUGGACUGUUAAGGUUCCAUUGCAUAUCUGAACAUGAUCUGCAUGUAUUCCUCUGGAUGGGGUAAAUGAAGUUGGUGCCUGAUAACCUCUACACCAUGUCCCUUAUCCACAUGAUAUUCUUUGCUGCUACUUCAAAGCCAGACAUGGAGUUCUGGAACUCUGCGGGUGUGAGCUUGGAAUCCAGUAUGCCUGAGGAUGGGCCUCGCCACCUGUGUGCUUUGUUUACUAUCUGGGCUUCUGCCCCAGUUCCUGUUCACCCUUUCCAUUCUCCCUCCUGGAACUGGAGUUCUGCCCUGAACCCCAGUUUACUUGGCCGGAGCCCACAUAUGGUUUUUCACCCUUGCCAGGUCUCACUCUGGGACUGUGGAUAA